RNAcentral lists this ribosomal RNA (206 nucleotides) under uncultured bacterium. RNAcentral describes it as "partial 16S ribosomal RNA". It matches the Rfam family "Bacterial small subunit ribosomal RNA", at positions 568 to 774 of the family's 1533-position model. The record is from RNAcentral.
CACGUAGGCGGCUAUGUAGUGUGAAGUGAAAUCCCACGGCUCACCCGUGGACGUGCUUUGCAGACUGCAUGGCUCGAGGAUGGUAGGGGAGAGCAGAACUCCUGGUGGAGCGGUGAAAUGCGUAGAUAUCAGGAGGAAUACCGGUGGCGAAGGCGGCUCUCUGGUCCAUUUCUGACGCUGAGGUGCGGAAGCUAGGGUAGCGAACG